Chinchilla lanigera (long-tailed chinchilla) is the source of this 1025-nucleotide long non-coding RNA. RefSeq lists it as uncharacterized. The transcript has 6 exons. Lineage: Eukaryota; Metazoa; Chordata; Mammalia; Rodentia; Chinchillidae. The record is from RefSeq and is a predicted model, not a curated record.
AUGGUUGCUAUUUGUUUUUCCUCAGCCACAGAAGCCAGCUAGUGAGAGCAGCCACUGAUCUUCAGGCUCUCCAAAAGCCCCCAAGAAUCGUCAUGCACCCAGUGGCCCCAGUCCCAUUGAUCAAAGCAAGUGAAUGUGUCCUAUUGGAGCAGCAGUCAUCAGACUGAGGGGUGGCGGAGAAGAACCAGGGUCCCAGGGUCUGCAGCAGCAAAGUGACCAGAUCCUGCCCCACCUUUGGCAACGUGAGGAGAUGCAGGGCAAGAUGGCCCUGGGCCAGCUUGUCAGGGGCUGCAGAGACCCAGCAGCACCCAGAAGUCACUGAGCAGCAGAAUCAGCAGUCAGCCCCAGCUGAGCGUCCUCACUCUGCGUUGGCAAGGCAGCAUUUUUAAUGAAACUUUUGCCAGUGCCUUGGAAGAGCUCACUUGGCUGCAUUGGCAGCUGAAGGAGCAGAAGCAGCAGUGCCAGUGCCCGGCUUGCCCGAUCGAUAGCCCUGACUGACAGUCUGAGACGGGGACCCUGGCUCCCGGAGGGAGGAUGACUGUGUGUCUGGGGAGAGCCACCAAGCCGGAGAAGAGGCCAUGUCAGAGUGCAGAUCGAUCCACGGAUGACACUUUGGCAUCCUGUGACUGCUCCGUUUGGCAAUAUUUCCCCCUGUGGUUUCAGUAUCCUUGGAUAUUUGCUGUCUGCAUCAAUUGUUUCAUUUCAACUCUAAUGAAAUGCGGAUUUCCAAGUUCCUUGAUCCCUUCUUCAGUCUUUGGCUGGGAUUUUCCAUAAGGAAGACUUUCCCAUCCUCAGCGUUCAUUGGUGAUGCUGAGAUGCAGUUCCUCAAGGAAAGACAGACUCUUUCCCCCCUUUUCGUCAAUCACCACCUUUCAUGGGAGGGAAAGGGGCUAAAAAGAUGUAUUAUGUACUUGGACCAUUUCCCCAUGAGCCACAUGAUCAUUAUGUACUACAAACAUGUACUAAUAAAAAAGAAAAUUUGAACAAAAAUCACUUUUCAGAAUAAAGAGUUGGUGCCAUCAUAA